CCCAUGCUAUUUUAUAGCUCACUUAG
Molecule: transfer RNA, 26 nt
Filed under: Aporrectodea sp. 2 MPL-2009
Lineage: Eukaryota; Metazoa; Annelida; Clitellata; Crassiclitellata; Lumbricidae
Description: partial tRNA-Asn
Source: RNAcentral